UAAUUGGACUGGUUUAAUGGCUUGUUUCAUGGGAGAAGCUCUAAACCUUACCUCAACAUUUAUGUAAAGUUAAAGCUGCAUAGAUUCUGAGUCUUGGAAGUUUAUUUCAAAGAAAAGACAAUGCCUGUGCCACAUGUUUGACUUGGGAGAAAGAAUAAGAACAAGAAGAGGGGAGGAAAGGAGGUGUCAGAAGGCAAAAAGAAAAGUACUUCGAGGCUCUUUGGAGACCUAGAGUAAAAAAUACCACUAUUAAAUGGAGCCACCAUGAAUUUUAUAAAUAUUAUGAAGCUCCAGGAAAUAUGAGCAGGAUCUCAAAUAUAUUCAACAAGCUUCCAAUUUUUGUCUUUUUAGAUGGUUGCUCUUGGAACACAGCAAUGUGCUUUAAGAUGUCAAGCCUCCUCUGCUGAUGCUGUAUGGAGAACAGACAAGCUUUCCCAUGAAGCCCUAACCAAACUGCAGAACUGUGAAUAAAAUCAAUAAUUGUUAUGAAAAGGCACUAA
Long non-coding RNA from Symphalangus syndactylus (siamang), 500 nucleotides. RefSeq lists it as uncharacterized. The record is from RefSeq and is a predicted model, not a curated record. NCBI's taxonomy places the organism in Eukaryota, Metazoa, Chordata, Mammalia, Primates, Hylobatidae.